This 498-nucleotide ribosomal RNA is filed under the name uncultured bacterium. RNAcentral's name for it is "bacterial SSU rRNA". It matches the Rfam family "Bacterial small subunit ribosomal RNA", at positions 28 to 536 of the family's 1533-position model. The record is from RNAcentral.
GGUUAACGCUGGCGGCGUGCCUAACACAUGCAAGUCGAACGGUUCUAAGCGCGAGCUUAGGAUAGUGGCGAACGGGUGAGUAAAAAGGUAGGAAUCUACCCCUUGGACGGAGAUAGCUACUGGAAACGGUAGGUAAACUUCGAUAAGCCCGAGAGGGGAAAGUGGUGAGACAGCCGAGGGAUGAGCCUACUCUCCAUCAGGUAGUUGGUGAGAUAAAAGCUUACCAAGCCGAUGACGGGUAGCCGGCCUGAGAGGGUGACCGGCCCGAGGGGCACUGAGAUACGGGUCCCACUCCUACGGGAGGCAGCAGGCUAGAAAUUUGGGCAAUGGGGGAAACCCUGACCCAGUGACGCCGCGUGCAGGAAGGAGCCCUUCGGGGUGUAAACUGCUGUCGUGUAGGGAGAAGGGUACUAAGGUGAACAAUCUUAGUACUUGACGGUACUACAGGAGGAAGCCAGGCUAACCUCGUGCCAGCAGCCGCGGUAAAAUAGACGUACU